Molecule: ribosomal RNA, 402 nt
Filed under: uncultured Thalassiosiraceae
Lineage: Eukaryota; Bacillariophyta; Thalassiosirophyceae; Thalassiosirales; Thalassiosiraceae
Description: partial small subunit ribosomal RNA
Rfam family: Eukaryotic small subunit ribosomal RNA
Source: RNAcentral
GCUUGUCUCAAAGAUUAAGCCAUGCAUGUCUAAGUAUAACUCUUUUACUUUGAAAACUGCGAACGGCUCAUUAUAUCAGUUAUAGUUUCUUUGAUAGUCCCUUACUACUUGGAUACCCGUAGUAAUUCUAGAGCUAAUACAUGCAUCAAUACCCAACUGUUCGCGGAAGGGUAGUAUUUAUUAGGUAUAGACCAACCCUCCUCGGAGGUGCUUUGGUGAUUCAUAAUAACUUUUCGAAUCGCAUGGCCUUGUGCCGGCGAUGGAUCAUUCAAGUUUCUGCCCUAUCAACUUUCGAUGGUAAGGUAUUGGCUUACCAUGGUUGCAACGGGUAACGGAGAAUUAGGGUUCGAUUCCGGAGAGGGCGCCUGAGAAAUGGCGACCACAUCCAAGGAAGGCAGCAGG